Molecule: ribosomal RNA, 253 nt
Filed under: uncultured bacterium
Lineage: Bacteria
Description: partial 16S ribosomal RNA
Rfam family: Bacterial small subunit ribosomal RNA
Source: RNAcentral
UACGGGGGGGGCAAGCGUUGUUCGGAAUUACUGGGCGUAAAGGGCUCGUAGGUGGCCAACUAAGUCAGACGUGAAAUCCCUCGGCUUAACCGGGGAACUGCGUCUGAUACUGGAUGGCUUGAGUUCGGGAGAGGGAUGCGGAAUUCCAGGUGUAGCGGUGAAAUGCGUAGAUAUCUGGAGGAACACCGGUGGCGAAGGCGGCAUCCUGGACCGACACUGACACUGAGGAGCGAAAGCCAGGGGAGCAAAUGGG